This 563-nucleotide ribosomal RNA is filed under the name Streptopelia orientalis (eastern turtle dove). RNAcentral's name for it is "partial small subunit ribosomal RNA". It matches the Rfam family "Bacterial large subunit ribosomal RNA", at positions 1821 to 2599 of the family's 2925-position model. Lineage: Eukaryota; Metazoa; Chordata; Aves; Columbiformes; Columbidae. The record is from RNAcentral.
UUCAGCCCAACAAGUAUUGAAGGUGAUGCCUACCCAGUGAAGCAUGUUCAACGGCCGCGGUAUCCUAACCGUGCGAAGGUAGCGCAAUCAAUUGUCCCAUAAAUCGAGACUUGUAUGAAUGGCUAAACGAGGUCUUAACUGUCUCUUACAGAUAAUCAGUGAAAUUGAUCUCCCUGUGCAAAAGCAGGAAUGUACACAUAAGACGAGAAGACCCUGUGGAACUUAAAAAUCAGCAGCCACCCCACAACAAAACCCAGCCCACUAGGCCCACCGCUAGCAAGAUGUUGGCUCGCAUUUUUUCGGUUGGGGCGACCUUGGAGAAAAGUAAAUCCUCCAAAAACAAGACCACUCCAUCUUAACUAAGAGCAACCCCUCGACGUAGUAACAGUAACCAGACCCAAUACAAUUGAUCAAUGGACCAAGCUACCCCAGGGAUAACAGCGCAAUCUCCUCCAAGAGCCCAUAUCGACGAGGAGGUUUACGACCUCGAUGUUGGAUCAGGACAUCCCUAAGUGGUGCAGCCGCUAUUAAGGGUUCGUUUGUUCAACGAUUAAGAGUCCUAC